RNAcentral lists this transfer RNA (70 nucleotides) under Rasbora trilineata (scissor-tailed rasbora). Its description in RNAcentral is "tRNA-Gln". It matches the Rfam family "tRNA". Rfam says of the family: Transfer RNA (tRNA) molecules are approximately 80 nucleotides in length. Their secondary structure includes four short double-helical elements and three loops (D, anti-codon, and T loops). Lineage: Eukaryota; Metazoa; Chordata; Actinopteri; Cypriniformes; Danionidae. The record is from RNAcentral.
AGAAGGUGGUGUAGAGGAAGCACUAAGAGUUUUGAUCUCUUUAGCAUAGGUUCAAGUCCUUUCUUUCUAA